UACGUAGGGUGCAAGCGUUGUCCGGAAUUAUUGGGCGUAAAGAGCUCGUAGGCGGUUCGUUAUGUCGGAUGUGAAAGCCCUUGGCUUAACCGAGGAAGUGCAUCCGAAACUGGCGAGCUAGAGUACUAAAGAGGAUCGCGGAAUUCCCGGUGUAGAGGUGAAAUUCGUAGAUAUCGGGAGGAACACCGGUGGCGAAGGCGGCGAUCUGGGUAGAUACUGACGCUGAGGUGCGAAAGCGUGGGGAGCAAACAGG
Molecule: ribosomal RNA, 253 nt
Filed under: uncultured bacterium
Lineage: Bacteria
Description: partial 16S ribosomal RNA
Rfam family: Bacterial small subunit ribosomal RNA
Source: RNAcentral